CAUCUGUGAUUAUCCUAUUCUGAACCUGAAUUUAUACUAGAAAAAACUUAUAUGAAUCUGGCUUCUGAGAU
RNAcentral lists this small nucleolar RNA (71 nucleotides) under Gorilla gorilla gorilla (western lowland gorilla). RNAcentral describes it as "Small nucleolar RNA SNORD50 (ENSGGOG00000029031.2)". It matches the Rfam family "Small nucleolar RNA SNORD50". From Rfam's summary of the family: U50 belongs to the C/D class of snoRNA which contain the C (UGAUGA) and D (CUGA) box motifs. Most of the members of the box C/D family function in directing site-specific 2'-O-methylation of substrate RNAs. The record is from Rfam by way of RNAcentral. Lineage: Eukaryota; Metazoa; Chordata; Mammalia; Primates; Hominidae.